UGAGGAAUAUUGGUCAAUGGGCGCAAGCCUGAACCAGCCAUCCCGCGUGAAGGAAGAAGGCGCUAUGCGUUGUAAACUUCUUUUCCAGGGGGAGAAUUUUUCCGUCGUGACGGGAAUUGACGGUACUCUGGGAAUAAGCAUCGGCUAACUCCGUGCCAGCAGCCGCGGUAAUACGGAGGAUGCGAGCGUUAUCCGGAUUUAUUGGGUUUAAAGGGUGCGUAGGCGGAUAGAUAAGUCAGUGGUGAAAUUCUGCAGCUUAACUGUAGACUUGCCGUUGAUACUGUCAGUCUUGAGUAUGGUCAAGGCAGGCGGAAUGUGUAAUGUAGCGGUGAAAUGCUUAGAUAUUACACAGAACACCGAUUGCGAAGGCAGCUUGCUGGGCCAUUACUGACGCUGAUGCACGAAAGCGUGGGGAGCAAACAGG
RNAcentral lists this ribosomal RNA (424 nucleotides) under uncultured bacterium. Its description in RNAcentral is "bacterial SSU rRNA". It matches the Rfam family "Bacterial small subunit ribosomal RNA", at positions 355 to 776 of the family's 1533-position model. The record is from RNAcentral.